GGGCGUGAGAGACCUCAAUUCGUCUCUUCCGUGUCAAAUACGGGUUGAAGAGGAACUCCUUUUCUAACUCCAGGGUCUGGUACCGGCUCAGCAGCCUCUUCACUGAUGGCAGCAAAUGAAUGCGCUGGGAGGUCAGCCUAGGUAACCUCAACAGCGGCUGGGAAUAACAGGGAAGCUCCAUCCGAGGGAAUGAAGUAAAUCCGGAGCUCAGAGAGAGAGCGACUUCGGGUGAAAGAGAGGAGAAGUGAGGCAGGGAAUGCUGAGCUCCUUUUGUGCGUUUGCCAUCGGGCUUCGCCUGUAGAAAAGAACCCCAAAAAUGCCCCGUCGGCAUUUUUGGUUCCCCGUAGGAUUAUUUUAUUUUAUUUUAUUUGUUGGGGGGGGGGAGGGUGGUGUAUUUUGUUUCUGCGUUCCGUUGUUGGCAGUGCCCCUUUCCCCCACUUUUUUUUUGCACCGCGCUGUCUGGCUUUGGAAGCUUCUUUUUUUUUUUACGAUCUCACGAAGGAAUUCGGCUCAUUAAAAAAAAAAAGAAAAAGAAAAAGAAAAUUUACCUCCAACCAUCGGGAUUCGCCUUAAUUUCUCGAGGUGGGGUCGGUGGGGGGACGAAGGGGGAGGGAACAGUUUGCAAAGGAGAAUUCUGAGCCGCCAAAAAGAAUCCACUCCACUCGUGUCCGUGGCACCGCGCUGCUAUCAGCGCUCCCCUCUGUACAAACCUUCACCGUUUCCCUCACGUCCUUCCAACCCCAAAUCAGCAGCCUCAUCAUUUUGGGUUCUGUGUUGGAGGGGGAGAUGUGUGUGUGUGUGGAGG
Long non-coding RNA from Phasianus colchicus (ring-necked pheasant), 805 nucleotides. RefSeq lists it as uncharacterized. The record is from RefSeq and is a predicted model, not a curated record. NCBI's taxonomy places the organism in Eukaryota, Metazoa, Chordata, Aves, Galliformes, Phasianidae.